RNAcentral lists this ribosomal RNA (468 nucleotides) under uncultured bacterium. RNAcentral describes it as "partial 16S ribosomal RNA". It matches the Rfam family "Bacterial small subunit ribosomal RNA", at positions 28 to 507 of the family's 1533-position model. The record is from RNAcentral.
GACGAACGCUGGCGGCGUGCUUAACACAUGCAAGUCGAACGGAAAGGCCCUGCUUUUGUGGGGUGCUCGAGUGGCGAACGGGUGAGUAACACGUGAGUAACCUGCCCUUGACUUUGGGAUAACUUCAGGAAACUGGGGCUAAUACCGGAUAGGAGCUCCUGCUGCAUGGUGGGGGUUGGAAAGUUUCGGCGGUUGGGGAUGGACUCGGGGCUUAUCAGCUUGUUGGUGGGGUAGUGGCUUACCAAGGCUUUGACGGGUAGCCGGCCUGAGAGGGUGACCGGCGACCAUGGGACUGAGAUACGGCCCAGACUGCUACGGGAGACAGCAGUGGGGAAUAUUGCACAAUGGGCGGAAGCCUGAUGUAGCAACGCCGGGUGCGGGAUGACGGCCUUCGGGUUGUAAACCGCAUUCACCUGUGACGAAGUGUGAGUGACGGUAAUAGGUGAAGAAGCACCGGCUAACUACGUG